GGAGUUCUAAGCGAAGCACCCCGAUCACCCCCGGACUUGUAAGACCUCCUACGCUCCUGCGCUCCUGCGAGAGAGAACCUCGCUCAACCUCGAUCCUCGACAUGCUCCCUCCUUGCCCUGCUUCCUCAUCGUCGUCCUCCUCAUCAUCAUCUCUGCGUCUUGCUCGCCCUCAACUCCAUCUUGCUCGCCCUCAUCUGAGAAGAGGAGCAUAAACGGAAGGCUAAGGCUAAGGCUACUGGAUUUUGUAAAUUAUGGAGAUCUACUUUGGAAUGCUAUACUAUAGUUCACUGGCAUUUUGUAAAAUAUCCUGGAUGAAAGUUUGGUGAAUGAUGUUUUAAGAGUCAAUCAAUGGCAAAGAUUGACUUGUCACAAGUAUCUUCUUAUGUACUUGUAUUUGUUGAAGUUGCAUGUAUUGGGCACUAUUCUUUUUCUUAUUUUGGGUGAUAGAGUUUAAAUCAAGUUACAUUUGCAAAUUAAACUCAACCACUUAUAAAUAGUAUGUCUCA
Molecule: small RNA, 506 nt
Filed under: Malus domestica (apple)
Lineage: Eukaryota; Viridiplantae; Streptophyta; Magnoliopsida; Rosales; Rosaceae
Description: sRNA MD09G0142600
Source: RNAcentral